GUUAAUGUGGCUGUGGAGCCGGACUGGGCACCGGAGAAUCGUGAAGGGAUGUUUGAGGGUCUUUUGUUAUUCCAGUAGAUCACAGUGACUGGGGCACUGCUGGGUGACUUCUGCUGGAACCAGCCAUAAGCAUAGCCACUGCUACCCCCAGAGCAGGUGAUCGUGACGGUUUCUCCCAGGUUCACUGACACUGAGGCCGGCUGAGUCAGUGCUGCCUGCACCAGGGAACCUG
Tympanuchus pallidicinctus (lesser prairie-chicken) is the source of this 232-nucleotide long non-coding RNA. RefSeq lists it as uncharacterized. Lineage: Eukaryota; Metazoa; Chordata; Aves; Galliformes; Phasianidae. The transcript is spliced from 3 exons. The record is from RefSeq and is a predicted model, not a curated record.